Molecule: ribosomal RNA, 253 nt
Filed under: uncultured bacterium
Lineage: Bacteria
Description: partial 16S ribosomal RNA
Rfam family: Bacterial small subunit ribosomal RNA
Source: RNAcentral
UACGGAGGGUGCAAGCGUUAUCCGGAUUCACUGGGGUUAAAGGGUGCGUAGGUGGGCUGGUAAGUCAGUGGUGAAAUCUCCAGGCUUAACUUGGAAACUGCCAUUGAUACUAUUAGUCUUGAAUACCGUGGAGGUCAGCGGAAUAUGUCAUGUAGCGGUGAAAUGCUUAGAUAUGACAUAGAACACCAAUUGCGAAGGCAGCUGGCUACACGAAUAUUGACACUGAUGCACGAAAGCGUGGGGAUCAAACAGG